AGACCCGAAACCCGGUGAUCUAGCCAUGGGCAGGUUGAAGGUUGGGUAACACUAACUGGAGGACCGAACCGACUAAUGUUGAAAAAUUAGCGGAUGACCUGUGGCUGGGGGUGAAAGGCCAAUCAAACCGGGAGAUAGCUGGUUCUCCCCGAAAGCUAUUUAGGUAGCGCCUCGUGAAUUCAUCUCCGGGGGUAGAGCACUGUUUCGGCUAGGGGGCCAUCCCGGCUUACCAACCCGAUGCAAACUGCGAAUACCGGAGAAUGUUAUCACGGGAGACACACGGCGGGUGCUAACGUCCGUCGUGAAGAGGGAAACAACCCAGACCGCCAGCUAAGGUCCCAAAGUCAUGGUUAAGUGGGAAACGAUGUGGGAAGGCCCAGACAGCCAGGAUGUUGGCUUAGAAGCAGCCAUCAUUUAAAGAAAGCGUAAUAGCUCACUGGUCGAGUCGGCCUGCGCGGAAGAUGUAACGGGGCUAAACCAUGCACCGAAGCUGCGGCAGCGAACGUAUCACCCAAGACAACUUUAC
Molecule: ribosomal RNA, 526 nt
Filed under: Salmonella enterica
Lineage: Bacteria; Pseudomonadati; Pseudomonadota; Gammaproteobacteria; Enterobacterales; Enterobacteriaceae
Also listed under: 2 other names
Description: partial 23S ribosomal RNA
Rfam family: Bacterial large subunit ribosomal RNA
Source: RNAcentral